AGGAGAUCUUACAGAAAGGUUUUCCUCUCGAGGAGGUAUGCUCGCUCAUGAAAAAAUACGCUCCUCGAAGGAACACAAAUUUCAUGGACCAACCACGGAUUAAUCCGGGAGUGAAUGGCACCAUUUCCGAAUGAAUGAUUGCUGUUCGAAAACAGCCUAGAGGAAAAAAUGAAAGUAGCAAAAAUACUUAAAAAUCCGUCUCGGGAGUUGAAGCCGAGUCACUCAGUCGCAAAUCCUAAGGAUUGAAAAAACCGGAAAGUCAACCGCCGCGACGUCCGACCGAUCAAAAGUUUCAGAGGACGUCAGAAACGGGCGGGAGGAAACCGUGGAUGUCGGAAAAUUUGUACAACACCUCGCGACAGAGGGACAAUUGUGGUUGGGAGGAACCCAAACGGAGACAGCGUCAUUAUUGAGGAAAUACUAGCCGAACUUGUAAUUAAUUUGGCGAGUAGGCUAUGCUUUUAUGUGAGCGAAUGACGUGAAAUUACGCCAGAGAAGUGCAUCUUGGCUUGGAUCAAAGGACAUAAAAUCCCUUUCUGUAGAAUCUCGUAUCAUUAUUUUAUUAUACGUUUAUUCCGAAGGAACGUGUGUGGGAUAAAGAGAGCUCUGUAAUGAACGAUCUGAUAGAGAAAUUACUCAGCAUCAGUGCAAUUGAAAAAUGUCAGGAGAAAAGAGAUUAGUUCUUGUUCAACAUUUUUGCAGUUCCAGAAUCUGAUGGAAGCUUUGGAUUGGUGUUAAACCUUUAAGUUCGUACAAGCUGGGCACUUCAUGCAAUUACGAUCAAACUUUACUUACACUUGCAAAACGUAGUAAAAGUGGGAUGCGAUAAAACCGUUAGCGACUGUUCGAGCGUUUAGCUGCUUGAAUCCUCCACAAAUUUACUUCACUGUAUAAACUUCUAAGAUCGAGAUUUAAACUUGACCUACUGAGCACGGUACGAGAUAUUUCCGAACUGUUGGAGGUGGAAGGAGUCGUACACUAGAAAUUAGUCAGUCUAUAAACUUGUUAGUCUGAAAUCGCUUGCUCAAUAUACUGGUGCUGGGUAUGAGUAUUGAGUUGGAAAGUUCAGAGUUCGGGGCCAUUUGUGAGUUACGCUUCCAACGAAGAAACAUGGUUUAGCAUGGCAACAUUGUAAGCCUGUGCCAAAUAUCCUUAAGGCGUAAGUCAAAACUCUCAUAAAAGGUGCUCCCGAAGGAAGUUAUUAGAAAUUCCAGUGAGAAAAAUUGUGUCAUAUGGAGAAGCAAACCUAUUCAAAAAUCUUAUUUGAAAAAUUCGCAGAAACGAUAAAAACAUGUUAUUUUAAUGCCAAUUAAGUGGGAAACAUUAAAUCCUGAGUCGGAACUGCUAAAUGUAUUUCAAUAACGCGAACAUGUCAUGCCAUGACAAACAUAAUAUUACAACUUCAUUGUACCUAUAACCUAAUAACGAAAAUAUUCCGAAAUAUAAUUUUUCAAGUCGGUAAACCAUAUCGGCUUCGUGAUUGCUCGUUGUACGUGAAUACCGUUUAGAGUAAGUUUUUAGUUGCUGUUGAUAGCAUUUCGGUAUACAAAAUCUCUGGGGAUUUAGCCACAUGCUAAAUGCUUGAUAGAAUCAAUUCUAAACUAUUUGAACAGUAGGAAGAAUGUGUCUUGACCUAUGACUUACUUCGUACUUUGAUUUAAUACUUUAAGUACCGCGUUGGCCUCUGCCUUCCGCUCAUGCGGAUUUAUUCACAUAUAAUAAGCUAUAGUGAAAACGGUGAUCAGCCACCGUUACAGCAGUGAAAAUGCUCGAUAUGGACCUUCACUGAUAAUACUGUGUAGGAAAGAUAACUGUUGAACAAAUGGUCUUUAUACUUUAUGUGCGAUGUUGUGUUGAAAAUAUUUAAUGAUCGUGUAAUUUAUUAU
Molecule: long non-coding RNA, 1886 nt
Filed under: Venturia canescens
Lineage: Eukaryota; Metazoa; Arthropoda; Insecta; Hymenoptera; Ichneumonidae
Description: uncharacterized LOC122407397, transcript variant X2
Source: RNAcentral